This 1042-nucleotide long non-coding RNA is filed under the name Gallus gallus (chicken). Lineage: Eukaryota; Metazoa; Chordata; Aves; Galliformes; Phasianidae. The record is from RNAcentral.
GAUGGACGGAGCACUCAGCAUGCUGGGGAGCGAGAGACAUCCAUGGAAGGUGCUGAGCUAUCUCAGAGUUUUUGCAAGCUUCCCUGCUUUUUCCCCAUCAGUGUGUUAAAGAGGAAAUCCCCCUUACAAAUCUCCCCUCAGAGGGGCAUGUAAGGGACCAAAACCAUCUUAACCAGAGCCAGCAGCACAGGAUACCCUGUGGUACUGAACUUUGAUUCACGUACCACAAUGAAUGAAAGACGUGAUGGGAAACCUGAGCUGAAGAGAGCAGGAACGUAUGAGCAGUGCAAUUUUGGUCUUCUGGAAGUAUCAUUUCUGGGCACAUUCUGAGAAAUGCAUGUACAUCCAGACCAGGAAAGUGAAAACCUCCAAGUCUUUUCAAAGGUUGUACUGGACUGGAAACAACGGAGAACGGUUAUCUGUGUUUCAGGAGUGAAAUUUUAGGCAUAGUUGAAAACCUUCCCUGCGUAAGUUCGAGUUACUGCACUCUCUACGAGGACUGAUGCUCUCCAGUCAUUUGCUUUUCCUUCAUUUUGGUUUUCUGACUCUCUGAAGAGUUUAAACUCCUCCACUGUCUUGUUGAAAUACCAGCGUAGGCUGAGGAGAUGGUAGGUAAGCAAGUCCUGCUGGAAUGGCCACCUAACCAGAACUAUGUGCUGCAGCCCCUUCACAUUUGAAACUCCCAUUAACCUCAAUGUACUGCCGGGAGAUAGUCUGGAUUUAACUGUCUUCACCUCAAAAAGGGCAUUCACUGAACAAAGAGCCAGAGACAAAACUGCUGCACUUGAGGAACAACCAGAACUGUACAUCAAUUUGCAUUUGCAAGUCUUUCCCUGAGGUUUUUUUUCCUAGCAGCUGCCAAGCAUUAAAUGGCUUUACUUGUAGGUAAUUUUAAAGUUAAUUUGUUUUGUAGAGAAAUUGCACUAUUCCGCUGUGUUUUUGCUCUCCUUUCUUGGUAGAGAUUUGCAAUCUGAAUAGCCCAAAUAAAAGCUGCGUUUGGGGGUUGGGGGGAAUUCAGCUUUAAGAAGUCUCAAGAUUUUAC